Long non-coding RNA from Octopus bimaculoides (California two-spot octopus), 1027 nucleotides. The record is from RefSeq and is a predicted model, not a curated record. Lineage: Eukaryota; Metazoa; Mollusca; Cephalopoda; Octopoda; Octopodidae.
UAAGAAAGUGAUGCAACUUUUAAUUGCAUUUCAUUUUGAUUUACCUGCAUAUAUGCAAUGGUUAGUAAAAAAACUGAUACAGGUAACCAUGGACCCCCUCUACAAGACAUCUGUUUCUGCCUCUCUGUCACAAGGUCACCUCCUCCAAUACCCCCUCCACACUCAAAGAUUCUUUGUCUUGCAAAGUCACUCAGUGACCCUGCCAGUGCAGGUGCCACUUAAAAAGCACCCAGUCCACACUGUAAAAAGGUUGGCAUUUGGAAGGGCAUCCAGCUGUAAAAACCAUGCCAAAACAGACACAGAAGCAUUAUGCAGUCUUCUGCUAGGCCAGCUGCUGUCAAACCGUCCAACCAAUGCCAGCAUGGAAGGAGGACGUUAAAUGAGGAUGAUGAUGUCCAAGUAUCCUGUUUACUGAUGGCAAGGUGAGACAGCUACCAGUUUGGAGCCAGCCAUGUAUUUGGACUCGGUAUGAAAUUUAUCAUAAAUCAGAACUUACUGGUAUGUUAUCAGCAACCAUACUUCAACUCUUGCCUUCUCUCAGAUCAGCUGUAUAGUUGUCUAUAUUUCGAGCAAGAGAAUUACUGUACAGGAUGUGAAACUCGUAUUUCUGGGUGUGAUGCUUUGUGUCACAGUGCCAGGCCACAAUGUGGAGAAUAAAGGAAAAGAGACUAAAAGAGCCAAACACAAAUGAAUGACCAAGAAAGGGAAACAACAGGACAGAGGCACUGUUGUAAAAGUGAAGCCUCCAACACAUCGUCUGAUCUAAUCAUUGCAAAUGACUGCCAGGCAGAUGAAAGUUUAUUAACAUUUCUUUCAAAUUUCUAGGAGAAUUUUUCAUUUAGAUAAUGAAGAAAUGUUUCUUAAAGGUAAUUCAGUCGUUAAAUAAUGUCAGGUAUGGAUUAUGUAUGCUGGGGAAGGAGGUGAGAUGAUGUGUGCUUCCCUCAUAAUUGCCAAUGUAUCGUAAGCAACUUUUCGUAAGUUUGUGAUAACAGACUGUGAUAAUUUGGCUUGUUUUCAAUACUUUAUU